CCCUACGGGGUGCAGCAGGCGCGAAACCUCCGCAAUGCACGGAAGUGCGACGGGGGGACCCCAAGUGCCACUCUUAACGGGGUGGCUUUUCUUGAGUGUAAAAAGCUUUUGGAAUAAGGGCUGGGCAAGACCGGUGCCAGCCGCCGCGGUAACACCGGCAGCUCAAGUGGUAGCCAUUUUUAUUGGGCCUAAAGCGUUCGUAGCCGGUUUGAUAAGUCUCUGGUGAAAUCCUAUGGCUUAACUGUGGGAAUUGCUGGAGAUACUAUUAGACUUGAGGUCGGGAGAGGUUAGCGGUACUCCCAGGGUAGGGGUGAAAUCCUGUAAUCCUGGGGGGACCACCUGUGGCGAAGGCGGCUAACUGGAACGAACCUGACGGUGAGGGACGAAAGCCAGGGGCGCGAACCGGAUUANAUACCCGGGUAGUCCUGGCCGUAAACGAUGUGGACUUGGUGUUGGAAUGNCUUCNAGCUGCUC
This 474-nucleotide ribosomal RNA is filed under the name uncultured archaeon. RNAcentral describes it as "bacterial SSU rRNA". It matches the Rfam family "Archaeal small subunit ribosomal RNA", at positions 321 to 795 of the family's 1478-position model. The record is from RNAcentral.